Molecule: ribosomal RNA, 409 nt
Filed under: Bacillus sp. R-32787
Lineage: Bacteria; Bacillati; Bacillota; Bacilli; Caryophanales; Bacillaceae
Description: bacterial SSU rRNA
Rfam family: Bacterial small subunit ribosomal RNA
Source: RNAcentral
CUGGCUCAGGACGAACGCUGGCGGCGUGCCUAAUACAUGCAAGUCGAGCGAACCACUUCGGUGGUUAGCGGCGGACGGGUGAGUAACACGUGGGCAACCUGCCUGUAAGACUGGGAUAACUUCGGGAAACCGGAGCUAAUACCGGAUAAUCCUUUUCCUCUCAUGAGGAAAAGCUGAAAGACGGUUUCGGCUGUCACUUACAGAUGGGCCCGCGGCGCAUUAGCUAGUUGGUGAGGUAACGGCUCACCAAGGCGACGAUGCGUAGCCGACCUGAGAGGGUGAUCGGCCACACUGGGACUGAGACACGGCCCAGACUCCUACGGGAGGCAGCAGUAGGGAAUCUUCCACAAUGGACGAAAGUCUGAUGGAGCAACGCCGCGUGAGCGAUGAAGGCCUUCGGGUCGUAAAG